This 253-nucleotide ribosomal RNA is filed under the name uncultured bacterium. RNAcentral's name for it is "partial 16S ribosomal RNA". It matches the Rfam family "Bacterial small subunit ribosomal RNA", at positions 524 to 776 of the family's 1533-position model. The record is from RNAcentral.
UACGAAGGGGGCUAGCGUUGCUCGGAAUUACUGGGCGUAAAGCGCACGUAGGCGGCUUUCUAAGUCGGGGGUGAAAUCCUGGAGCUCAACUCCAGAACUGCCUUCGAUACUGGAAAGCUCGAGUCCGGGAGAGGUGAGUGGAACUGCGAGUGUAGAGGUGAAAUUCGUAGAUAUUCGCAAGAACACCAGUGGCGAAGGCGGCUCUCUGGACUGUAACUGACGCUGAGGCGCGAAAGCUAGGGGAGCAAACGGG